Molecule: ribosomal RNA, 484 nt
Filed under: uncultured bacterium
Lineage: Bacteria
Description: partial 16S ribosomal RNA
Rfam family: Bacterial small subunit ribosomal RNA
Source: RNAcentral
AUUGAACGCUGGCGGCAGGCCUAACACAUGCAAGUCGAGCGGAUGAAGGGAGCUUGCUCCUGGAUUCAGCGGCGGACGGGUGAGUAAUGCCUAGGAAUCUGCCUGGUAGUGGGGGAUAACGUCCGGAAACGGGCGCUAAUACCGCAUACGUCCUGAGGGAGAGAGUGGGGGAUCUUCGGACCUCACGCUAUCAGAUGAGCCUAGGUCGGAUUAGCUAGUUGGUGGGGUAAAGGCCUACCAAGGCGACGAUCCGUAACUGGUCUGAGAGGAUGAUCAGUCACACUGGAACUGAGACACGGUCCAGACUCCUACGGGAGGCAGCAGUAGGGAAUAUUGGACAAUGGGCGAAAGCCUGAUCCAGCCAUGCCGCGUGUGUGAAGAAGGUCUUCGGAUUGUAAAGCACUUUAAGUUGGGAGGAAGGGCAGUAAGUUAAUACCUUGCUGUUUUGACGUUACCAACAGAAUAAGCACCGGCUAACUUCGUG